Molecule: long non-coding RNA, 643 nt
Organism: Harmonia axyridis
Lineage: Eukaryota; Metazoa; Arthropoda; Insecta; Coleoptera; Coccinellidae
Exons: 3
Source: RefSeq, a predicted model, not a curated record
AAUGACGAUCUUGUUAAGUUGACUACUUCCUUGUAUUUUUGAUGAAAUUAAUUUGAAGGCGUUUUCGGAUUAUGUUUCAUUUUCGAAUGGGUUCUCUUAUAUAAGUGGGAUGUUCUGGAUAAUUGUUACUUUCGGUCGUUUUACUCGUUUUGUUAGUCGAUGAUACAAAGAACUUUUGAAUGCAUAUUGUGAGAUUUUAAACAGCUUCAUCUAUUUCAGUACGAUUGAGAAGAUACCAAAAUUCUUCGACACAGAAUUACUGCCGAAGAAAAAGUCACUCAGCAAGCUUUGAAAAAAAUCAAUAUAUAAGUGCAGUAGUGAGUGCAAGUAAGAAAGAAGAACUAUAUACAUGUGGAGGUGCGAUCUGGUGAUGGCAUUUCAACAUCCUCUUGGUUCUUCACCUUUUUUCCUCCUGUGCAGAUCCACAUGGCGGCAAAUAACACACGUUUGGGAUCAAAAACUGGGUCUAUUUCUGAGCCUCGUAGUGUCUAGUCAUGUUCCGACGACCUGUCGAUCAGAACUGUCGACGAGAUCGUCAGUUCAUUAUUUUUUAUUUGAAGCUUAGUUAAGUAUGGGAAAUGGCUUUCCGUGAAUUUGGCUGAAUUUUUGAUAUGUUGUAGUUCUUGAUGAACUGAUCAGAAAA